This 253-nucleotide ribosomal RNA is filed under the name uncultured bacterium. Its description in RNAcentral is "partial 16S ribosomal RNA". It matches the Rfam family "Bacterial small subunit ribosomal RNA", at positions 524 to 776 of the family's 1533-position model. The record is from RNAcentral.
UACGUAGGGUGCAAGCGUUGUCCGGAAUUAUUGGGCGUAAAGAGCUCGUAGGCGGUCUGUCGCGUCUGCUGUGAAAACUCGGGGCUUAACCCCGGGCCUGCAGUGGGUACGGGCAGACUAGAGUGCGGUAGGGGAGACUGGAAUUCCUGGUGUAGCGGUGAAAUGCGCAGAUAUCAGGAGGAACACCGGUGGCGAAAGCGGCGCACUGGACCACAACUGACGCUGAGGAACGAAAGCUAGGGGAGCAAACAGG